AAAUUGAAACAACGCAACCGUACUAUCUAUUUACGAUAAUUUGAUUGCUGACAACACGACAACAUCACGCUUCUCUUUCUUAUUCUUAUUUAUAUAACUGUCACUUUAUCGGGCCGGAAAAGUGACACCAUCACGUCUCAGGGUCGUAUGCCUGGAACAAGAAGGGUCGUCGUACAAUUUAGGCAAUUACAAAAAAGAAGGAGGCGAGCUCCCUAUCCCUCUUUGUCUUUCCACUUUCCUGUUUAGGAACAAACACUUCGCCAAAUUCUUUUGAGUCCCGGCCUGGUUUUUCCCCACUAA
Molecule: ribosomal RNA, 300 nt
Filed under: Triticum aestivum (bread wheat)
Lineage: Eukaryota; Viridiplantae; Streptophyta; Magnoliopsida; Poales; Poaceae
Description: partial small subunit ribosomal RNA
Source: RNAcentral